UAACACCCCAGGUUCCCAUGAAGACCUUC
This 29-nucleotide non-coding RNA is filed under the name Mus musculus (house mouse). Lineage: Eukaryota; Metazoa; Chordata; Mammalia; Rodentia; Muridae. The record is from RNAcentral.